GUGCUCGCUUCAGCAGCACAGAUACUAAAAUUGGAACGAUACAGAGAUUAGCAUGGCCCCUGCGCAACGAUGACAUGCAUAUUCGUGAAGCGUUUCAUAUUUAA
Molecule: small nuclear RNA, 104 nt
Organism: Hyaena hyaena (striped hyena)
Lineage: Eukaryota; Metazoa; Chordata; Mammalia; Carnivora; Hyaenidae
Source: RefSeq, a predicted model, not a curated record